This 253-nucleotide ribosomal RNA is filed under the name uncultured bacterium. RNAcentral describes it as "partial 16S ribosomal RNA". It matches the Rfam family "Bacterial small subunit ribosomal RNA", at positions 524 to 776 of the family's 1533-position model. The record is from RNAcentral.
UACGGAGGGGGCGAGCGUUGUCCGAAGUUACUGGGCGUAAAGCGCGCGUAAGCGGGUUGCUAAGUCCGCUGUGAAAGCCCGAGGCUUAACCUCGGAGGGUCGGUGGAUACUGGCAGUCUUGAAGGUGGUAGAGGGAAGUGGAAUUACCGGUGUAGCGGUGAAAUGCGUAGAUAUCAGGAAGAACACCCGUGGCUAAGGCGGCUCUCUAGUACGUGACUGACGCUGAGACGCGAAAGCGUGGGGAGCGAACAGG